UGUAUAAUUGGUUAGAUCUAGCUACUUCAGAUAAGAAAGCUCAUGCAGCUGUUCAGACUCCUGUUGAAUCAGGGUCCAACAAAAACUACUGAUAUUCCAUGGGUUGCUUUAAUUGGUCAAUCAGUUUCAAUAGCCUCUGCACAGUCACGAUCUAAAAGCUCACUGGAAACUGCAUGGAGGGUAGAGACUAGAGAGUGAAAGUCUUAGAUCUAUACUUGGUGGAGCCCCUCAAAGCCGGCUAGGCAUAAUAGCUUUGGUAGAUGCUGUGGCACAUCAGAUUUGCAAGCAUAUGAAAGUUUGGCUACCAAACCUCCUUUCUGGGUAGACCGUGUCCUGGUAGCAAUAGUUUCUGCUUCUGUUAAUGCUACACCAGGACUAGGAAGAUACCCUCCUUUCAAGAGAGAGGUAUAGCAUGAUGAGUUAUUUCACAUAUUGUAUGCCUGUGCAAGCCUUUGCCAUAGUUUAAGUUCUUAUUUUUCUUUUUGUGAUGUUAGUAAUAUUGCUACUUGCAGAUAUUUCCCAUAGCUUAAGUCCUCAUUUUUAUUUUUGGUAAUGUUAAUUGUAUUCAAUCUAGUAAAGGUCAUAGUUAUUACUACUACUGCUCUUGAGGGGUUUAAGAAUGAACUGAAAAAGAUGGUUGUUGCACUAGUGGAUAUGGAGCGGGCAUUUAUUCCUCCCCAACACUUCAGUGACUUGGAAUUGCUGGUCUUGGAGAUCUUGAAAGUCACAAGACCAUCUAGGCCCUGAAGAUUUGGAAUUGCUUUGAAGUUGAAUAGUAGGGAAACAUUCAGUGAUUUCUUUGUACACUAGUUCCUUUCUGUAUGGCGUAUCUAUCAACUUAACAUUAAGGAACUUAAUUUCCCCCAUAUUGGCAGUUGGAUUCCAUGUUACAAAAUACAGAAUUAUUAAGGGGAUGUACAGGCUUGGUGCAGACAAGCCUCUGAUGAACAAUCUGUGGACAACACAACGAAUGAUUACUGAAUUUGGUGUUUUUUGUCGAAGAAAAGUUCAAAAAUGAUGGAUGGAGCAAACAAUGAUUUGUUUUGAAUGAGAAGACGGGGAAGGUUUAUAACACAUUGCUCUAAUAUGUGCCUUUGUUACUUUUCUUGAAUCAUGCUACAUUUGUGCUCACUUGCUGUGCAUUAUCCAUUAGAAGAUCUGGACUUACUGCAAAGCUCAAAACUUGUUUGGCCAUUAUGCAUUUAUUUUAUACCCAUAUAGAUAUUCUCGACUUUAUUACCUUGGCACUGCAUAGGAUGCACAAGUCCAGAAGAUAAGUAAUUGUGUGCCUACACCAGAGGGAAGACACACCCCACUCCUUAAAUUCAAUUGCAUUCUGUUUUGAUAGUUGAGGCAUUACUAUAUAGAGUUGGAGGUUUCUAAAGUUAUGGGUCAUUUAGGACUAAGGGUAGAGGUAAUAUGUGAGGCUGCAAAUGAAUCAAGUAUUAGCAAACUCUGGCUUAGCUCAUUUGUAGAAGAAAUAUUAACUUUAUGCUUAGGCUCAGCAUAGUUAUUAGAUGACUCAAGGUAAGCUUGUCUUGUACUUGUUUGUUAAAUGAGCCAAACUCAUGGUGAAGUUUUUAUUAUUAGGAUUAAGUUGUAAAUAAAUCAUAGGGGAUAAAUGUUCUUUAUGGUAAAAAGUUGGCGGCAAAGUGUUCAUUAUGGUAAAACUAAGGGAUGAAUUUUUCAAAUGUUGAAGUGCAAAUCUCUUCCAUCUUUUUCAAUAACACAGCUAGAUGAUGGAAUUGAU
Long non-coding RNA from Manihot esculenta (cassava), 1750 nucleotides. RefSeq lists it as uncharacterized. The transcript has 3 exons. Lineage: Eukaryota; Viridiplantae; Streptophyta; Magnoliopsida; Malpighiales; Euphorbiaceae. The record is from RefSeq and is a predicted model, not a curated record.